GGAAGAGUAAUUCAGUAGAAAGAGUACUGACUCUGAAGUCAAUGGACCUGGAUUCAAAUUCCACCUCUGCCU
This 72-nucleotide transfer RNA is filed under the name Monodelphis domestica (gray short-tailed opossum). It matches the Rfam family "tRNA". Rfam says of the family: Transfer RNA (tRNA) molecules are approximately 80 nucleotides in length. Their secondary structure includes four short double-helical elements and three loops (D, anti-codon, and T loops). The record is from Rfam by way of RNAcentral. Lineage: Eukaryota; Metazoa; Chordata; Mammalia; Didelphimorphia; Didelphidae.